GUAAGUUCACAUGACACAACAGUUUAGUUACUUGGAAUGUCUCGCAAGGUCUUGCAAGUUGAACUACUUCUUUAAAGUACGGGUGACAGCCGUGACGUUCUCCAUAUUGUCAAUCACCAGCAAACCGAGGAGAAUGAGGCCACGUGGGGCCUCCGGUCUGCUAAGACUCGCCCUGUGUCCUUGCUAACAUGACGCGAAGCAUGGGUUGUACGUGCCCUCUCUCUGCAAGCGCUCACGGGGACUGAUGUAAUCUUCUGCUCGACUGGGUAGGAACCGGCAGAGCAGGACUCCUUGCCUCCCUGUGUCAGCCUCUUAAGUGCAGAAUUUCGAGAUGGCUGCUGACAUACUUCUGCUUUGGUUUCAAGGUUUGCUCAAGAAGCAACAGCGUGGGACAGGGAUGAAGAUGAAAGGAUGAAAGGAAAAACUGCCCAGACACUUGCAUACACAAAUAAGUGCUGUCACCUUCCACACUCCACUCACAACCGCCUCCAGAUAUUGAUCACAAAUAAAGUAGAAUGCAGUCUUAAUUGCCAAAUACAUCUUGAC
Molecule: long non-coding RNA, 546 nt
Filed under: Equus caballus (horse)
Lineage: Eukaryota; Metazoa; Chordata; Mammalia; Perissodactyla; Equidae
Description: lncRNA (ENSECAG00000031877.3)
Source: RNAcentral